AAUUAAUGAACUUGAAUAAGUGUAUGUUUUGAAAACAUUAUAAAGAAGAAAAGCCUUCUAUUAAUUU
Molecule: transfer RNA, 67 nt
Filed under: Taeniochauliodes natalensis
Lineage: Eukaryota; Metazoa; Arthropoda; Insecta; Megaloptera; Corydalidae
Description: tRNA-Ser
Source: RNAcentral